Molecule: long non-coding RNA, 241 nt
Filed under: Pan troglodytes (chimpanzee)
Lineage: Eukaryota; Metazoa; Chordata; Mammalia; Primates; Hominidae
Description: long non-coding RNA NONPTRT007289
Source: RNAcentral
AGACUCCACCUGUGGGGACAGAGCAUAGCUGAACAAAAGGCAGCAGAAACUUCUGCAGACUUAAACGUCCCUGCCCGACAGCUCUCAAGAGAGCAGUGGUUCUCACAGCAUGGUGUUUGAGCUCUGAGAACUGCCUCCCAAGUUCAAACAAUUCUCCUGCUUCACCCUCCCGAGUAGCUGGAAUAACAGGCACUGGCCACCAUGCUCGGCUAAUUUUUUGUAUUUUUAGUAGAGACGAGGU